AUUGAACGCUGGCGGCAGGCCUAACACAUGCAAGUCGAACGGUAACAGGAAGAAGCUUGCUUCUUUGCUGACGAGUGGCGGACGGGUGAGUAAUGUCUGGGAAACUGCCUGAUGGAGGGGGAUAACUACUGGAAACGGUAGCUAAUACCGCAUAAUGUCGCAAGACCAAAGAGGGGGACCUUCGGGCCUCUUGCCAUCGGAUGUGCCCAGAUGGGAUUAGCUAGUAGGUGGGGUAACGGCUCACCUAGGCGACGAUCCCUAGCUGGUCUGAGAGUAUGACCAGCCACACUGGAACUGAGACACGGUCCAGACGCCUACGGGAGGCAGCAGUGGGGAAUAUUGCACAAUGGGCGCAAGCCUGAUGCAGCUAUGCCGCGUGUAUGAAGAAGGCCUUCGGGUUGUAAAGUACUUUCAGCGGAGAGGAAGGGAGUAAAGUUAAUACCUUUGCUCAUUGACGUUACCCGCAGAAGAAGCACCGGCUAACUCCGUG
This 490-nucleotide ribosomal RNA is filed under the name uncultured bacterium. Its description in RNAcentral is "partial 16S ribosomal RNA". It matches the Rfam family "Bacterial small subunit ribosomal RNA", at positions 30 to 507 of the family's 1533-position model. The record is from RNAcentral.